Molecule: ribosomal RNA, 253 nt
Filed under: uncultured bacterium
Lineage: Bacteria
Description: partial 16S ribosomal RNA
Rfam family: Bacterial small subunit ribosomal RNA
Source: RNAcentral
UACGUAGGGUGCGAGCGUUACUCGGAAUUACUGGGCGUAAAGCGUGCGCAGGCGGUUUCGUAAGUCUGUCGUGAAAUCCCCGGGCUUAACCUGGGAAUGGCGAUGGAGACUGCGAGGCUAGAGUUUGGCAGAGGGGGGUAGAAUUCCACGUGUAGCAGUGAAAUGCGUAGAGAUGUGGAGGAACACCGAUGGCGAAGGCAGCCCCCUGGGUCAAAACUGACGCUCAUGCACGAAAGCGUGGGGAGCAAACAGG